CUGCAUGUUAAGGAAAAAAUCAUUCAGCUCCUUAUUCCCUUAAGGAGCAUGAAUAUAUAUAUAACAUGCUAGAAAAAACAAGGAGUCUUCAGGGCCUCCAGUCUUGCAGUGAAGGCUGAGUGGUAGUAUAUGUCUCCUACAUCU
Molecule: small nucleolar RNA, 144 nt
Filed under: Nothoprocta perdicaria
Lineage: Eukaryota; Metazoa; Chordata; Aves; Tinamiformes; Tinamidae
Description: Small nucleolar RNA U109 (ENSNPEG00000003668.1)
Rfam family: Small nucleolar RNA U109
Source: Rfam by way of RNAcentral